Molecule: long non-coding RNA, 492 nt
Organism: Panicum virgatum (switchgrass)
Lineage: Eukaryota; Viridiplantae; Streptophyta; Magnoliopsida; Poales; Poaceae
Exons: 2
Source: RefSeq, a predicted model, not a curated record
UCUGUGCAUAUAGCAUUAUGACAGCCUCGUCUCGCGCCGAUAUUCGUAGGGAAAUGGAGGCACACAUGUGAGGUCCUCCUAAUGAUCCAAAUAGGUGUAUUGCAGAUCGCAAGGUAUGGCCAAAAGGUGAAGAGCCGCCGGAUUGUUAUUGCCAGAUGCGGUGUGUGGCCAACAUUUCUCGUGAGCAUGAGACUUUUGGUCGGAGCGUGGACCUGAUGCGAUCUUGAGCAUUGACUAUUGCUACUUCCACGAGUGGAUCGACACCUCUAUUAGCCAUCCUGAUCAGAAAUAUUUGGCAUGGUUGAAGAAGGUGGACGAUGACAUCCGGAAGUCCGAGAGUGGGCGUGGUAGAGGCCAUAAGUGAUGGAAGUAAGCAUCGUAGUCAAUGAAUAAGAAUGUCGCCCAUUAUAUGUAUUCGCAGGCAUGUAAAGUAAGCGUGUAUCCUAUUUGUGUAAAAUAACCGUGUAUCCUGUUUUUAAGAACCGUUUGUCA